Molecule: long non-coding RNA, 2594 nt
Organism: Hippocampus zosterae (dwarf seahorse)
Lineage: Eukaryota; Metazoa; Chordata; Actinopteri; Syngnathiformes; Syngnathidae
Exons: 2
Source: RefSeq, a predicted model, not a curated record
UCCCUCUGUCAAACACACGGACACGCAAACAUACUUUUAGCUCCUGUGGUACACGUCAGAAUGACUCCUUUGUUAAAUAAGAAAUAUUCGACUUGUGAAACAUAAAUUGCUCGGCUCUAAGAAGAAUUGAAAUGGUGUUGGACGUGGUCCAGCUGAGCGGUGGGCGUUUCCCCUUCAGCUGCGCACCUGUCAUGCAUCGAAAUCAAGCCACGAGAUGAGGACUCCCCUGCCAACAACUGACUGUUGGAAAAUUCGCCUUGCUCCAGCCAUUACUUGUGUGCAAUGUUCCCAACAUUGCUGAUCUUGCUCCGUUUUUGCUCUCGGUUUUCUAGGAGUAGUCCCUUUGGUUUUGGUAAGUUAUUCUCGGUUUGUACUUUUUAUGAACUGGUUUGCUCAUCCUUUUGACACAAGCUAUUUCCUCUUGUAUUUUUCCAUGCCUUUUGCAAGCGCCUUUUGUUACUCUUGUUUUAUCAAGGUGUGGUUACCAGCGUUUUUUUCUUUGUACUUUGUCGGCUUUGCAACACUUUUUCUGGAAAUCAAUAUUUGUUGUGUACAUAUUAUGUGACUGCGUUUUUACAGUCCACUUCUGUCCAGCAUCUGACAGCUAUUAGCUGUUGAAUUAAAAAAAUUAAUUACGGUAAUAUUUUAUUAUUUCUAUGGCUUAUUUUUAUGUUGGGGGGGCGUUAAAUGUAAACGCCACAGUACUGUUGAAAUGUUGCUUACACUUUUUGCAGGGAAAAUUAUACCAGUGAAUGUUAAAAGAUGAGGGCGGAAAAGGUUAAACUCCUUUAAAUUCAAUCUGAAGUGUUUGUUGUACUUAAAAUGUUUGCAAUUAGUUAUUGUUUAUUUGUCUAUUAUAGGCAUGAUUUAUAACUGAAAUCUUGGCAAGAAAAAGCAGGAAUCUUCACCUACACUGUCCACUACCAAGGUAAUCAUUUCAGUUGAUAAAUUGUCGAAAGACACCAUUUCAUUUUGAUUCGUAUCAGUUCAUGAAACAACAUAGUCCUUGAAUCAUAUCGGUCACCGCAAAUCUUGGUACAAAUCAUUUCACUCCUAAUACAGGGAGUGAAUAAAUGCAGUCAGUCCAAAUGAUGUGCAACUUUUAAUUGGCAAGCAAAUGAGGUUGUAAAUUACCCAUCUUCAUGAGGGUCCAGUUGUUGUCCAUCUGCUGGGUGGCCUGAAGGAAAUAACGCCCAUCGGUCCACAUGGCGGCAUACUGCUCCGUGACGAUGGCUGUACCUGUACAUCACAACGCCCACCCAUGACUGAAAAUCUACAACCUCAGACUCAAUGUUGCCACUACAGCAGUGGUUCUCAAACACCAAGUACCACCUCAAAAAAGUACCAAGUACCAACAACCAACAUUAAAAAACAGUAGAAAUUGAGGCAGUUGUUUUAAAUGAAAAUAAUAGGUUUCCACAGACAAAGUGCAUGUUCAUGCAAGGCACAUUUAAAAACACCAUCAAGAACACAUACCUGCUGAACCGUUGAAACCACAGAUAAACUCCCGCCUGCAGUCACAUGGUGCAAUGUAUUCACUCUUAAAGACACAGAGAUAAUACAAACAUAAUACAUGAGUAGAUCACCUCAUUAAUAAUCAGAGCAAAGUGGUCCUCAGCCUGUGUGCCACCUUUGCCCAUUUGUCCUACUCGCAUCGUGACUUGUACAAGGAGAAGGGAAGGUUAGAAGAAAGAAUUCAUUUUAAAAGAUCAGACAAGCAGAAAAUGGGUGCACAAUCACCCAAGCAUCAGUACUGUGAGUUAAUACGUCCAGUAUCUAGUUAAGCUGACAUAACCUGUAAAGGGGUAAAAAUAAUUUACCUGAUGGGCAUCACCAGAAGGGAUAAUGUAAGCUUGAAGAGGCUCCGAAACAUAUUUACAAUUCUUCAUCACCUGGCGGAGUUGUCUGAGCAGCUCUCCUGUGAUCUUUGGAGACAUGUUUCUGUCUGAAUAAUGGCAAAAAAAAACAACGUCAUUCAGCUGAAAGAGCGCAACAAAUCAUUCACAACAAUCAACUGUGGAUGUUCGCAAAGCACACGAGCAAAAAUAAUGAAUCUCAAUGAUUUAGUCUUCAUUUAAAACCUCAUGCAGUGGCAUUACCAGACAUUUGGGAAGACUUCAGACGACCCGAGGACUGACUCACUCGAACUGGCUGUCUAUUAACGUGGAGCUCACAGAUCACAUCUUGAUCUUUACCCCCGUAACAUGCUGGUUCAGCAACAGGUGUCUUGGAAGUGGUAAAAGUAGUACACAGACUGGAUAUUUCAUUGGGUACCUCCACCACAAUCUUAUUUGAUCCGGUAUAAUAAUUCCGUUUUCAUACAUUGGGCAAUUUUAUCUUCCCCCCCCCCCCCCACCCCACCCGCAAUUUAAACAAAUCUGGAGGGAGUUUGCAUGCUUGUCCAUUUGUGGGUUUUCUCCAGGUAGUUCAGUUAGAAAUGUGAGUGUGAAUGCUUGUUGGAGUCCCCAUGUCAUGUAACUGAUUGCUGACCAGUCUAGAGUGGAGCCGGCCUCUCACCAAAUGUCAACUAAGAUAAGCGCCACUUACCAGUGACCACAAUGAGCGUUAUAUGAAUAAAGACGGAUUGUAUUGUG